Non-coding RNA from Nicotiana tabacum (common tobacco), 497 nucleotides. NCBI's taxonomy places the organism in Eukaryota, Viridiplantae, Streptophyta, Magnoliopsida, Solanales, Solanaceae. The record is from RefSeq and is a predicted model, not a curated record.
UUGCAUAAACUCUGGCCUUUGUCAACUCGACAUUCUUAGCCUUCAUUUGCUUUGAAGUUCCAUUUCCUUUGUCAUUCUCAAAUUAGUUCAAUUGCAGAAUUAAUCUAAAAUUAUGGCGGAGGAAAAGAUUGGAAUUGCUAAGGAUGUAACAGAAUUGAUUGGUAAAACUCCUUUGGUUUACCUGAAUAAUAUUGUGGAUGGCUGUGUUGCGCGUGUUGCUGCUAAGCUGGAAAUGAUGGAACCAUGCUCUAGUGUCAAGGAUAGGAUUGGCUAUAGUAUGAUCAAAGAUGCUGAAGAGAAAGGCCUCAUCAAACCUGGUGAGGUCAGUUACUGAGUAUCCUUCUUGUUUGGAUAUUAUUUGAAACCUUCAACGCUUACGGUCAGUUGACCUCGUUUUAUUAGCUUAAUAAUACUCUCUAUUUCCUAGGACAAAUAAACUUAUCAAAAAAUUUGGUUUAUCUUGUAUGAUGAUUGUCAUCAAGGAGCUAUGUUGUCCG